Long non-coding RNA from Coregonus clupeaformis (lake whitefish), 2262 nucleotides. RefSeq lists it as uncharacterized. Lineage: Eukaryota; Metazoa; Chordata; Actinopteri; Salmoniformes; Salmonidae. The record is from RefSeq and is a predicted model, not a curated record. The transcript is spliced from 3 exons.
CUUUCUGAAGGCACUUCAGGUGUACAGGCUGAACAACACGUUAUAAGUCCUUCACAGCAGGACAGGUACAGGCUAAACAACACGUUAUAAGUCCUUCACAGCAGGACAGGUACAGGCUAAACAACACGUUAUAAGUCCUUCACAGCAGGACAGGUAGAGGUACAGGCUAAACAACACGUUAUAAGUCCUUCACAGCAGGACAGGUGGUGGAGGUACAGGCUAAACAACACGUUAUAAGUCCUUCACAGCAGGACAGGUAGAGGUACAGGCUAAACAACACGUUAUAAGUCCUUCACAGCAGGACAGGUACAGGCUAAACAACACGUUAUAAGUCCUUCACAGCAGGACAGGUAGAGGUACAGGCUAAACAACACGUUAUAAGUCCUUCACAGCAGGACAGGUAGAGGUACAGGCUGAACAACACGUUAUAAGUCCUUCACAGCAGGACAGGUAGAGGUACAGGCUAAACAACACGUUAUAAGUCCUUCACAGCAGGACAGGUAGAGGUACAGGCUAAACAACACGUUAUAAGUCCUUCACAGCAGGACAGGUACAGGCUGAACAACACGUUAUAAGUCCUUCACAGCAGGACAGGUAGAGGUACAGGCUAAACAACACGUUAUAAGUCCUUCACAGCAGGACAGGUACAGGCUAAACAACACGUUAUAAGUCCUUCACAGCAGGACAGGUAGAGGUACAGGCUAAACAACACGUUAUAAGUCCUUCACAGCAGGACAGGUACAGGCUAAACAACACGUUAUAAGUCCUUCACAGCAGGACAGGUAGAGGUACAGGCUAAACAACACGUUAUAAGUCCUUCACAGCAGGACAGGUAGAGGUACAGGCUAAACAACACGUUAUAAGUCCUUCACAGCAGGACAGGUAGAGGUACAGGCUAAACAACACGUUAUAAGUCCUUCACAGCAGGACAGGUAGAGGUACGGGCUAAACAACACGUUAUAAGUCCUUCACAGCAGGACAGGUGGAGGUACAGGCUAAACAACACGUUAUAAGUCCUUCACAGCAGGACAGGUACAGGCUAAACAACACGUUAUAAGUCCUUCACAGCAGGACAGGUAGAGGUACAGGCUAAACAACACGUUAUAAGUCCUUCACAGCAGUAGAGGUACAGGCUAAACAACACGUUAUAAGUCCUUCACAGCAGGACAGGUAGAGGUACAGGCUGAACAACACGUUAUAAGUCCUUCACAGCAGGACAGGUAGAGGUACAGGCUAAACAACACGUUAUAAGUCCUUCACAGCAGGACAGGUAGAGGUACAGGCUGAACAACACGUUAUAAGUCCUUCACAGCAGGACAGGUAGAGGUACAGGCUAAACAACACGUUAUAAGUCCUUCACAGCAGGACAGGUACAGGCUAAACAACACAUUAUAAGUCCUUCACAGCAGGACAGGUAGAGGUACAGGCUAAACAACAUGUUAUAAGUUCUUCACAGCAGGACAGGUACAGGCUAAACAACACGUUAUAAGUCCUUCACAGCAGGACAGGUAGAGGUACAGGCUAAACAACACGUUAUAAGUCCUUCACAGCAGGACAGGUAGAGGUACAGGCUAAACAACACGUUAUAAGUCCUUCACAGCAGGACAGGUGGAGGUACAGGCUAAACAACACGUUAUAAGUCCUUCACUGCAGGACAGGUAGAGGUACAGGCUAAACAACACGUUAUAAGUCCUUCACAGCAGGACAGGUACAGGCUAAACAACACGUUAUAAGUCCUUCACAGCAGGACAGGUAGAGGUACAGGCUAAACAACACGUUAUAAGUCCUUCACUGCAGGACAGGUAGAGGUACAGGCUAAACAACACGUUAUAAGUCCUUCACAGCAGGACAGGUACAGGCUAAACAACACGUUAUAAGUCCUUCACAGCAGGACAGGUAGAGGUACAGGCUAAACAACACGUUAUAAGUCCUUCACAGCAGGACAGGUAGAGGUACAGGCUAAACAACACGUUAUAAGUCCUUCACAGCAGGACAGGUAGAGGUACAGGCUAAACAACACGUUAUAAGUCCUUCACAGCAGGACAGGUAGAGGUACAGGCUAAACAACACGUUAUAAGUCCUUCACAGCAGGACAGGUAGAGGUACAGGCUAAACAACACGUUAUAAGUCCUUCACAGCAGGACAGGUAGAGGUACAGGCUAAACAACACGUUAUAAGUCCUUCACAGCAGGACAGGUAGAGGUACAGGCUAAACAACACGUUAUAAGUCCUUCACAGCAGGACAGGUAGAGGUACAGGCUA